RNAcentral lists this ribosomal RNA (459 nucleotides) under uncultured bacterium. RNAcentral's name for it is "partial 16S ribosomal RNA". It matches the Rfam family "Bacterial small subunit ribosomal RNA", at positions 338 to 795 of the family's 1533-position model. The record is from RNAcentral.
CCUACGGGUGGCAGCAGUGAGGAAUAUUGGUCAAUGGCCGGGAGGCUGAACCAGCCAAGUCGCGUGAGGGAAGACGGCCCUACGGGUUGUAAACCUCUUUUGUCAGGGAGCAAGGUGCAGGUCGGGACCUGCUGUGAGAGUACCUGAAGAAAAAGCAUCGGCUAACUCCGUGCCAGCAGCCGCGGUAAUACGGAGGAUGCGAGCGUUAUCCGGAUUUAUUGGGUUUAAAGGGUGCGCAGGCGGAGGCACAAGUCAGCGGUAAAAGCCCGGGGCUCAACCCCGGCCCGCCGUUGAAACUGGCAGUCUCGAGUUGGAGAGAAGUAUGCGGAAUGCGCGGUGUAGCGGUGAAAUGCAUAGAUAUCGCGCAGAACUCCGAUUGCGAAGGCAGCAUGCCGGCUCCACACUGACGCUGAGGCACGAAAGCGUGGGUAUCGAACAGGAUUAGAUACCCCAGUAGUC